CUUCCUUUUCUUGGCGGGGCUGGGAGGGAUGGGCUCUGGCCCCCUCAGCGUUAUGUCUUCAGUACCAGCGGCCACUGGUCUGCCAGUUCUAUCCUCAAGUGCUGGGACACAG
RNAcentral lists this small nucleolar RNA (112 nucleotides) under Moschus moschiferus (Siberian musk deer). RNAcentral describes it as "Small nucleolar RNA SNORA57 (ENSMMSG00000017115.1)". It matches the Rfam family "Small nucleolar RNA SNORA57". Rfam says of the family: U99 belongs to the H/ACA class of snoRNAs which are thought to guide the sites of modification of uridines to pseudouridines, the target for this family is unknown. The record is from Rfam by way of RNAcentral. Lineage: Eukaryota; Metazoa; Chordata; Mammalia; Artiodactyla; Moschidae.